This 447-nucleotide ribosomal RNA is filed under the name uncultured bacterium. RNAcentral describes it as "partial 16S ribosomal RNA". It matches the Rfam family "Bacterial small subunit ribosomal RNA", at positions 29 to 523 of the family's 1533-position model. The record is from RNAcentral.
AACGAACGCUGGCGGCAGGCCUAACACAUGCAAGUCGAGCGCCCUUUCGGGGGAGCGGCGGACGGGUGAGUAACGCGUGGGAAUAUGCCCUUCUCUACGGAAUAGCCUCGGGAAACUGAGAGUAAUACCGUAUACGCCCUUAGGGGGAAAGAUUUAUCGGGGAAGGAUUAGCCCGCGUUGGAUUAGGUAGUUGGUGGGGUAAUGGCCUACCAAGCCGACGAUCCAUAGCUGGUUUGAGAGGAUGAUCAGCCACACUGGGACUGAGACACGGCCCAGACUCCUACGGGAGGCAGCAGUGGGGAAUCUUAGACAAUGGGGGCAACCCUGAUCUAGCCAUGCCGCGUGAGUGAUGAAGGCCUUAGGGUUGUAAAGCUCUUUCAGCUGGGAAGAUAAUGACGGUACCAGCAGAAGAAGCCCCGGCUAACUCCGUGACAGCAGCCGCAGUAA